Molecule: long non-coding RNA, 1469 nt
Organism: Mauremys reevesii (Reeves's turtle)
Lineage: Eukaryota; Metazoa; Chordata; Testudines; Geoemydidae
Exons: 6
Source: RefSeq, a predicted model, not a curated record
GUCAAGAUAGCUGCUGCUGCUGCUGCAAUGGUGGGGCUGAAGGUGACUUUGUUCCCCCCAGUAAGUUGUUUGGAUGUGAUGGUGGAAGAGUCCGUUUGUCUGGAGACUGAUACAGAAGUUUCUGUGAACAGGCUGGUGGAUGGUGUGGUGCUAUCAGCCAAUGUUGUGAGCCUUGUUCCUGUGGUGCCUGGGGUUUGUGCCCCCAGGCCAAAGGGGGAAAUGAUUAUUUUUCCAUAAUGGAUCCCCGGAUAGGUGCGCUGAGUUCCAGGGACUAGACUUCUGCAGCAGGCACAAUGAAAUGGAUUAUAGAAGUCUGAGAAGGACAAGACCUAUUGGAUCAUUGAGCCUAUUCCCCUGCAAAGAUAGAUUUACCCAAUGGACAUUGUAUUGGAUAUUAUAUUACCAGUUCUCCAAGCUACUAUCCUCUCUGCGUUCAAGUUGUUUGUAAAUUCCAUUGUAUUCAGCAAUCUGGCCUCAAGAUGAGACAAAGGGAAAGGAAAUGGUGCUACUCCAGUUGAGGAGUUGAUAUAGGCUCCAUGGCUCUCAUGCACCUGUUUUGUUGUGGAUGAAGGACCAAAGAAUCAGCAUAUAAAGUAUUGGGCAGCUGACACUUGAGCGAAAAAGCCUCAGUCCUGCAUGUAUUUCCACUGAAGUCAAUGCCUCCCCACAAUGGAACAGGAAUUUUCCCGCACAGAUCAGACUGGAAGAUCAGGGCACAGAAACAAGUGUCUGGGCUUGGGGCUGUGGCCUUCUGUACAGCAGGACAAAGGUUUUUUCAUUUAUAUGCUUAGUGCUGGUUAGUUGGUUAAUUAGUUAGUUGACUGGCUAACAGUGAUUCCACAGUCCUGCAGAGGAAGAGAGUCUGCCUGGGUUCCAGCUGGACAGUUCUGCAAGCAAAAAUGGGGAAGAUACUACUCAGCAGACUGUGUAGAGUUGAUGAACCAUGACUUUAACUGAGACUCAGUGAACUCAGCAUAAGCUUUUGGAACUUUGAGUUACUUCUCACUGUGUGUUUGUGGGGACUAAUCUGUUUAGAUUUAAUCUGUUUCUUUGGUUUAUAUGUAUGUAAAACUGUGAAGAUAAUCAGGGCCGGCUCUAACAUUUUUGCCGCCCCAAGCGAAAACAAAGAGCGCCGCCCCGCCCCGAGAGUCGCAUCACCCCACCGCCCGAGCGUCGUGUCACCCAAGUCCCCGCCCUGUGAGCUUCACGUCGCCCCGCCCCCAAACGUCAUGUCACCCCGCCCCCUCCGAGCAUCGCGUCGCGCUGCCCAAGUCCCCUGCCCCCCCCGAGCGUCACAUUGCGCCGCCCAAGUCCCCACUCCCCCGAGCGCCGUGCCGCUGAAGCCCACCCCUGCUGAGCGCCGCGCCGCCCAAGUCCCCACCCCCAGCACGGCACCAUGCCUCCCGAGCCCCGCCUCCCCCCAGCGCCGCUCGGCCGAACCAAAAAAAACAAAAACAAACCCUGAGUGC